ACGACCUUACUUGAACAGGAUCUGUUCUAUAGGCUCGUACCUCUGUAUCCAUAAGUUCAAAGGAGACAGGAUUUCAAGUCUGGUUGACAAACUAUGACUGUGUGACCUAAGCGUGAUUAUUGGUCUUGUGGUGCCCUCGCCGGUUUCACUUCGACCGCUGAGGAUCGUUCUUAGCUUGCCUUGAGCGGCUGGGAUGGUCGCACAGUUGUCUGACAGACC
Molecule: non-coding RNA, 219 nt
Organism: Gossypium hirsutum (cotton)
Lineage: Eukaryota; Viridiplantae; Streptophyta; Magnoliopsida; Malvales; Malvaceae
Source: Rfam